Pelobates cultripes (western spadefoot toad) is the source of this 534-nucleotide non-coding RNA. The record is from the annotation of a GenBank genome assembly. Lineage: Eukaryota; Metazoa; Chordata; Amphibia; Anura; Pelobatidae.
GGAAAGGGUUACAGAAGAAAAAAGUAAUAAAGGGGAAAACAUUUCUACACACACACAUACAUACAUACACAUAUAUAUACACAUAUACAUGACAUCUUAAACAUACGUGAAGCAUGGUCAUUAAACUGUAGACAUUGUUUAUAUUAUUCUCUGUGCUGGUAAUAAGAUGGACUAGAUAUUUCAUCCUAACCUUAACAUAUGAGGAAAGGGAUUUAGGGGUGAUUUAUUUCUGAUGACUUAAAGGUAGGCAGACAAUGUAAUAGAGCAGCAGGAAAUGCUAGCAGAAUGCUUGGUUGUAUAGGGAGAGGUAUUCGCAGUAAAAAGAGGGAAGUGCUCAUGCCAUUGUACAGAACACUGGUGAGACCUCACUUGGUGUACUGUAGGCAGUACUGGAAACCAUAUUUCUAGAAGGAUAUUGAUACUUUAGAGAGAGUUCAGAGAAGGGCUACUAAACUGGUUCAUGGAUUGCAGGAUAAAACUUACCAGGAAAGGUUGAAGGAUCUUAACAUGUAUAGCUUGGAGGAAAGACGAGAC